UUCAAAGGUGCCUUAUUCCCUCAUUGUUCCC
RNAcentral lists this non-coding RNA (31 nucleotides) under Mus musculus (house mouse). The record is from RNAcentral. Lineage: Eukaryota; Metazoa; Chordata; Mammalia; Rodentia; Muridae.